RNAcentral lists this non-coding RNA (48 nucleotides) under Streptomyces flavochromogenes. RNAcentral's name for it is "L31-Actinobacteria ribosomal protein leader". It matches the Rfam family "L31-Actinobacteria ribosomal protein leader". Lineage: Bacteria; Bacillati; Actinomycetota; Actinomycetes; Kitasatosporales; Streptomycetaceae. The record is from RNAcentral.
UCGGCCCCGGUUCACGUUUGCCGCGCCCCGCGGAAGCGACCCGGAGCC